CCAAUAGCGUAUAUUAAAGUUGUUGCAGUUAAAAAGCUCGUAGUUGAAUUUCGGGACUAGUACGCUGGUCAUGCCUUUGGUAUGUACUGGUGUUACUGGUUCCUACCUUCUGACGAACCGUCAUGUCAUUCAUUUGGUGUGGCGGGGAAUCAGGACUGUUACUUUGAAAAAAUUAGAGUGUUUAAAGCAGGCUCGCGCUUGAAUACAUUAGCAUGGAAUAAUGAAAUAGGACGUUUGAUCCUAUUUUGUUGGUUUCUAGGAUUGACGUAAUGAUUAAUAGGGAUAGUUGGGGGCAUUAGUAUUCAAUUGUCAGAGGUGAAAUUCUUGGAUUUAUUGAAGACUAACUACUGCGAAAGCAUUUGCCAAGGAUGUUUUCAUUAAUCAAGAACGAAAGUUAGGGGAUCGAAGACGAUCAGAUACCGUCGUAGUCUUAACCAUAAACUAUGCCGACUAGGGAUCGGAUGAUGUUAUUUUUAAUGACUCAUUCGGCGCCUUACG
RNAcentral lists this ribosomal RNA (498 nucleotides) under uncultured Glomeromycotina. RNAcentral describes it as "partial small subunit ribosomal RNA". It matches the Rfam family "Eukaryotic small subunit ribosomal RNA", at positions 591 to 1092 of the family's 1831-position model. Lineage: Eukaryota; Fungi; Glomeromycota. The record is from RNAcentral.